This 324-nucleotide ribosomal RNA is filed under the name uncultured eukaryote. Its description in RNAcentral is "partial 18S ribosomal RNA". It matches the Rfam family "Eukaryotic small subunit ribosomal RNA", at positions 1470 to 1796 of the family's 1831-position model. The record is from RNAcentral.
CCCUUAGACGUUCUGGGCCGCACGCGCGCUACACUGACCAGUGCAACAAGCAUCCGUCCUUGGCCGACAGGCCCGGGCAAUCUUUGAACGCUGGUCGUGAUGGGGAUAGACUUUUGCAAUUUUUGGUCUUCAACGAGGAAUUCCUAGUAAACGCAAGUCAUCAACUUGCAUUGAUUACGUCCCUGCCCUUUGUACACACCGCCCGUCGCACCUACCGAUCGAAGGUAAUGAUGAGCCCUCAGGAUUGUGGCCUCGUCGCGUCAGCGUCUUGGCUGCGAGAAUCUGUGCAAAUCCCUACCUUUAGAGGAAGGUGAAGUCGUAACA